UACGUAGGUGGCAAGCGUUGUCCGGAUUUAUUGGGGUUAAAGGGUGCGUAGGCGGCUUAUUAAGUCAGUGGUGAAAUACUCUAGCUCAACUAGAGGGGUGCCAUUGAUACUGAUGAGCUUGAGUACAGAUGAGGUAGGCGGAAUUGACGGUGUAGCGGUGAAAUGCUUAGAUAUCGUCAAGAACACCUAUAGCGAAGGCAGCUUACUAGGCUGUAACUGACGCUGAGGCACGAAAGCGUGGGGAUCAAACAGG
RNAcentral lists this ribosomal RNA (253 nucleotides) under uncultured bacterium. RNAcentral describes it as "partial 16S ribosomal RNA". It matches the Rfam family "Bacterial small subunit ribosomal RNA", at positions 524 to 776 of the family's 1533-position model. The record is from RNAcentral.